UCAAGCUACUAAGAGCGUACGGUGGAUGCCUUGGUGCCAGGAGACGAUGAAAGACGUAGUAAGCUGCGAUAAGCUUCGGGGAGCCGCUAAACAGGCUUUGAUCCGAAGAUCUCUGAAUGGGGCAACCCGGCACUGUUAAUACGGUGUCAUUUAUUGCUGAAUCCAUAGGCAAUAAAGGUGAACGAAGGGAACUGAAACAUCUUAGUACCUUCAGGAACAGAAAACAAAAGUGAUUUCCUAAGUAGUGGUGAGCGAACGGGAAAGAGCCUAAACCAGAUAUGCGUGAUAGCCCGUAAGCGUUGUAUAUCUGGGGUCGUGGGACUUUAUGGGAAAAAGUUACGGCUUUUUCGAGAAGUUACAAAAGUAAUCAAUAGCUGAAUCCUGUGGAAACAGGAACCAGAGCAGGUGAUAGUCCUUUAGGCAAAAUUGAUUACCCUUCUUUGUAAAGCACCCGAGUACUACGGGACACGUGAAAUCCUGUAGGAAUUUCGGAGGACCAUCUCCAAAGGCUAAAUACUCCCUGGCAACCGAUAGUGAACAAGUACCGUGAGGGAAAGGUGAAAAGUACGGAGGUAAUCCGAGUGAAAAAGUACCUGAAACCGUAUGCUUACAAGCUGUGGAAGGACUAUGCUCCCGCAAGGGAGAAUGUCUGACCGCGUGCCUUUUGUAUAAUGAGUCAGCGAGUUACUCUAUGUAGCGAGGUUAAGCCGAUUGAGGUGGAGCCGAAGCGAAAGCGAGUCUUAACAGGGCGUUUAGUUGCAUAGAGUAGACCCGAAACCGGGUGAUCUACCCAUGGCCAGGGUGAAGUCUCGGUAACACGAGAUGGAGGCCCGAACUGGUGUUGGUUGAAAACAGCUCGGAUGAGCUGUGGGUAGGAGUGAAAGGCUAAUCAAACUCGGAGAUAGCUGGUUCUCCCCGAAAUAUAUUUAGGUAUAGCCUUGCAACUGAGUGAUGGGGGUAGAGCACUGGAUGGGCUAGGGGUCUUACCGGAUUACCAAACUCAACCAAACUCCGAAUACCGUCAUUUCGUAUUGCAGGAGUCAGACUGUGGGUGAUAAGGUCCAUAGUCGAGAGGGAAACAACCCAGACCGCCAGCUAAGGUCCCCAAGUAUGUGCUAAGUGGGAAAGGAUGUGGAAAAACUGGGACAACCAGGAGGUUGGCUUAGAAGCAGCCAUCCUUUAAAGAAAGCGUAACAGCUCACUGGUCAAGUAGUUCUGCGCCGAAAAUUCAACGGGGCUAAGCACAUUACCAAAGCUGCGGGAUCUACUUCGGUAGAUCGGUAGGGGAGCAUUCUAUGCGGGUUGAAGCCAGACCGAAAGGACUGGGGGAGUACCCCGCGUGGACCGCAUAGAAGAGAUUAUGCUGACACGAGUAGCGAUAAUGCCGGUGAAAAACCGGCACGCCGGAAACCUAAGGUUUCCUGGGGAAGGUUAAUCCGCCCAGGGUUAGUCGAUACCUAAGCUGAGGCCGAAAGGCGUAAGCGAUGGAAAACAGGUUAAUAGUCCUGUACCACUAAAUUGACGUUAUCAGCGAAGGGGGGGUGUAGAAAGGUAAGCCAUCCAUCUGUUGGAAUAGGUGGUUUAAGCUCGUAGGGGGAUGUUCCAGGCAAAUCCGGAACGUCAUUACCCCGAGAAGUGAUGAGGAUCCCGCUUGCGGGAACAAACUGGCUGAUCCUAUGCUACCAAGAAAAGCCUCGUAGCGAGUUAGUUUAGUGAUCGUACCCGAAACCGACGCAGGUAGGUAAGGAGAGAAUCCUAAGGCGCUUGAGAGAAGCCUCGUUAAGGAACUCGACCAAUUGGCUCCGUAACUUCGGGAGAAGGAGUGCCCUUGUUAAGUGAUUCACCUCGCGUGAUGAGCUGAGAAGGGUUGCAGUGAAAAGGCGGUAGCGACUGUUUAAUAAAAACACAGGUCUCUGCUAAGUCGUAAGACGACGUAUAGGGACUGACGCCUGCCCGGUGCUGGAAGGUUAAGGGGAUUUGUCAUGCCGGUUUUUAUCGGCAGAAGCUUUGAACCGAAGCCCCAGUAAACGGCGGCCGUAACUAUAACGGUCCUAAGGUAGCGAAAUUCCUUGUCGGGUAAGUUCCGACCUGCACGAAUGGCGUAACGACUUCCGCAUUGUCUCAACGAGGCCCUCAGCGAAACUGGAAUAUCGGUGAAGAUACCGGUUACCCGCCACUAGACGGAAAGACCCCGUGCACCUUUACUAUAGCCUGAUAAUGAAUUUAGGUGUAAUUUGUGUAGGAUAGGUGGGAGACUUUGAAGUUCCGACGCUAGUCGGGAUGGAGUCACCCUUGAAAUACCACCCUGGUUAUUCCGGAAUUCUAACCUCGAGCCGUUAUCCGGUUCAGGGACAUUGUCAGGUGGGUAGUUUGACUGGGGCGGUCGCCUCCAAAAAGGUAACGGAGGCGCGCGAAGGUUCCCUCAGGCUGAUUGGAAACCAGCCGUAGAGUGUAAAGGCAUAAGGGAGCUUGACUGUGAGACUGACAAGUCGAACAGGUGCGAAAGCAGGCCUUAGUGAUCCGGCGGUUCCGCAUGGAAGGGCCGUCGCUCAACGGAUAAAAGGUACGCCGGGGAUAACAGGCUGAUCUCCCCCAAGAGUCCACAUCGACGGGGAGGUUUGGCACCUCGAUGUCGGCUCAUCGCAUCCUGGGGCUGGAGAAGGUCCCAAGGGUUUGGCUGUUCGCCAAUUAAAGCGGUACGUGAGCUGGGUUUAGAACGUCGUGAGACAGUUCGGUCCCUAUCUGUGGUGGGCGCAGGAUAUUUGAGGGGUGCUGUCCUCAGUACGAGAGGACCGGGAUGGACGAACCUCUAGUGUACCAGUUGUCGCGCCAGCGGCACAGCUGGGUAGCUACGUUCGGAUUGGAUAACCGCUGAAAGCAUCUAAGUGGGAAGCCAACCCCAAGAUUAGAUAUCCCUUCCCGACGAGAGUCGGGGACUAAAGGCCCCUGGUAGACUACCAGGUUGAUAGGCCAGAUGUGUAAGUUCGGUAACGAAUUUAGCUUACUGGUACUAAUUGGCCGUGAGGCUUGACCAU
RNAcentral lists this ribosomal RNA (3035 nucleotides) under bioreactor metagenome. Its description in RNAcentral is "bacterial LSU rRNA". It matches the Rfam family "Bacterial large subunit ribosomal RNA". The record is from RNAcentral.